AUGUCAUUCUGGGGACAAUUUGUCAGCAAGCCUUUGUAUCUCUCCCAUGCCUCAUAAAGUGUCGCCUCCUUGUUGUUCAAAAUUGGCAAUUUCUUUCUUUAACAU
Molecule: small nucleolar RNA, 105 nt
Organism: Lactuca sativa (garden lettuce)
Lineage: Eukaryota; Viridiplantae; Streptophyta; Magnoliopsida; Asterales; Asteraceae
Source: RefSeq, a predicted model, not a curated record